Molecule: ribosomal RNA, 497 nt
Filed under: uncultured bacterium
Lineage: Bacteria
Description: partial 16S ribosomal RNA
Rfam family: Bacterial small subunit ribosomal RNA
Source: RNAcentral
GAUGAACGCUGGCGGCGUGCCUAAUACAUGCAAGUCGAGCGAACAGAUGAGGAGCUUGCUCCUCUGACGUUAGCGGCGGACGGGUGAGUAACACGUGGAUAACCUACCUAUAAGACUGGGAUAACUUCGGGAAACCGGAGCUAAUACCGGAUAAUAUAUUGAACCGCAUGGUUCAAUAGUGAAAGACGGUUUUGCUGUCACUUCUAGAUGGAUCCGAGCCGCAUUAGCUAGUUGGUAAGGUAACGGCUUACCAAGGCAACGAUGCGUAGCCGAACUGCGAGGGUGAUCGGCCACACUGGAACUGAGACACGCUCCAGACGCCUACGGGAGGCAGCAGUAGGGAAUCUUCCGCAAUGGGCGAAAGCCUGACGGAGCAACGCCGCGUGAGUGAUGAAGGUCUUCGGAGCGUAAAACUCUGUUAUUAGGUAAGAACAAAUGUGUAAGUAACUAUGCACGUCUUGACGGUACCUAAUCAGAAAGCCACGGCUAACUACGUG